AAAUAUUCAAAGCACUUGGCUUCAGACUAUGAAUUUACAGUAAAAUGUAGUCAUCACAAAGCCAUAUUUGUUCAUCAUUUACAGUUCCACAUCUGCAUACUACUCUCUAUUUAUUCUAUAGUUCCAAUUAUUGGAAAUCUUUUUCCAACACCAAGUGUAUCAGCAUUAAUUCCGUCUGCGUUGCUGAAUUUCUGCACCCAGGCAGAGUCUUACAGCAUGGACCACUAUAGCCGGUAAAUGUAGGAAGACGGUAAAUGUGCAAUUGACAAAGUCAAUAUCUCCAAAGCAAGCAUCGUACAGUAUCUCUUGGCUAUAUACCACAAGGUACCCCAUGAACAAUGACCGCAGAACGUAUGCCUGUCAUAGCAUUAUUCAAGUCAGUCAUAUUAUUCAUUCAUUCAUUAGACAGAGGCGAGUUCAAAACUAGAGUAAAGUAAGUUCAAAAUUAUUGUAAUUUGUGAAAUUGUAUGCAAAAUUACUGUUUUAUGAACAAGGGAACUGUGUUAUAGGAUGCGUGUGAAUACAUUGUAUGCACACAACUUUCUUACCUUUAACGUCCACUGAGAAAUGCCAAAUGACAGAUGCAUUAGACUACAAGUGUGAAUCAGGCCAGUGAUGUAGAUUUGUCUCCUUUCCCUUUCUUCCAUGGCUGCAAGCAAGAAACUUCCAAAGACAAUUGCUGCACCUUGCAAAAAUCUAACGACAGCGCUGGAGAGAGAGAUUUCUGAAGUUAGAUAUUGUUCAAAUUAUCAGAUAUUCUCAAAUAACAAGGUUCUAAUGCAGUCUGAUGGCCAUAUUGCUCAACUUCUCUCAUUCAUAAGCCAAUAUAGUUCAAAACUGUUUCCGGUUUCUAAAGAAUAUAAUUCCGAGUCACAAUUUGGUAGCUGUAAUUCCAUUCCAAUCCCCUAAUUCUAUGAAUCUUAGUUACAACUUACAAGUCAUCAAUUUAGCUAAAUGCUAAUAUCAGACCAACAUUCUAAAACUCAAUGCUAGUCAUAAUUCUCAAAUUUUCUCAUUCAUAAGCUAUGCAUUAUGCAAAUUCUCCAAUAUGAAGCCUAACAGAUCAUGAACAAGAGUCAUUACUGCAAAAAAAUUCAAAUACUACAGGGUUGUUCAGACUCCAAACCUACGUAAUCCUAGUAACCACUUUUAGCUAACUGCACGCAAUAAUACAGAACACAACAUAGAAUGAUUAUCAAAGAUAAAGUGAUCACAAGUAUAUAUACCAAUCAACGACAAGGUAAUAUGAUAUGACAAGAAAGCAGUAAAAACAACCAUAUCUGAACAAUGUUUAGCAUCUUUCAAGUCUUACCUUUGAUCGAUUUCGAAGAAGUACUUGGUAAAAGGGCCAACAGAAGCACCGACGCAAAAUGCAGUAUACAUCAAGAGCACAACCCUCUUCCGCUGCAUAGACAGAAGAUUUACGAUAUAAGAAGCGACUUGAAGAAUAAUUAAACAACUUUGGAAGAAAAUCUGUGAGUCAUUGAUCAUGUACCACUCUCCAUGGUGGUGUAUGGUAAAGCCAGAGUAAACUUGCUUCAGAAGAAAGGACUGUGAACAGCCCCCCUGCUUCCCCGAUCAAGUGCAAGAGGGAUCCACAAGCAGCAGCCGACAUGGCACAGAGGAGAGUAAGAUAAACCUAUAGUUUCAGCAAAAACCAAUCAAUACUUAUAUGAAAAUUUCCAUGCAAACUUCACACUUUCAAGAAUUAAUUAAGUUCAUUAAACUGUUCAAAAUUUUAACUAUAACUUUGAUGUUUUCUUCCAUUAUCAUAAUAUAUACUAAGUGAAUUUAACAUCUUAAUUUCCCGUCCCCUCGAAUACUCUCAUAUAAACCAAGUCAAAAACAACUUUCAAGACCGAAUAGGGAAAACUCGAUUCGAAAUGCUAAUUCUUCAAAAUCUUCUUUGAAUCUAAAUUCAUUCUCGGAAAACAGAAUGUUGCCUUUUUUCUUUCUGAACUACAAGAAACUGUAAAAAAAAAAACACCGACUUCGAUCAUCAACAAUAUUUGGAGAACCGAAAUUCAUCUUCUGAUCAGCUAUACAGAAAAAUCUCGAUUGCAAUUUCUUAAAUUACAACAUUUGUGAUCAAAUAGAAGGAAAAUAGGAAAAAAAGUGGAAAUUUACCUUUUGCAAGCUUGUGCGAGCGUGCUGGGGAAUUGGUGCAGAACUCAUCAAGUCUUUUCUUGUCCAAUUCCUAUUGAAGUACAAUUUCACAGCAUUCACUAAGAAAUUCAUUUUUUCUUUUCUUUUCGUUUUGCAGAGAAAUUGGAAAUGAUGAAGAAGAAUGAGGAGCGUCAGUUCUAUUUAUAGUUUUGCAGAGAAGAGUUAGUUACCAACGGAAUGCCCUUUUUGGGAUAUUUACGGUUUUACCUUUCAGUUAUGAGUAUAAGGCAGGGAUACUUUCGUCAAAUAAGAAAUAAAAGAAGAAUCUCCAUCUACCGACUCAGGUUGUUGGCGGGAAGGGGGAGUUAGAAUUAUGGAAUCGGAGGGUAUCAAAUAAGGCUUAAGUCAUCCGUAGCCAUUUAAAGUUGUCCUUGAACACCUUUAUUAGUAAAAAAAAAAUAUCUAUUGAACAUUGUUUGACAAUCAACUAAAAAUAGAAAUUGUGGGAUCCGGCUCCCCUCCAUUACCCCUUCCCUCCAUUUCGUUAAGUGCACAUCUAGCUUAAAGACAUGUGUCAUAUUUAAAGUUUAAAGGUCAAAAUUAUAUCAUAUUAACAAAUAUCAUAACCAUAGUUAAGUCAACUAAUUUUAGAAAACUACUCUCCAAAUUUGGUAAGAAUUACAAUAUAUUCUAAAUAAAAUUUGAUAUUUAUUAAUAUCAUUAAUUUCAUAUUAUGCUUUUGUAUUUAAUUAUUAAAUUGUAUGAUAUUUUAGGUGAGAAUCAUCGAAACAAUUUAUGUACUACUAAACUUUGCUCUUGAAAUAUUAUAUAUACUAUGUUGAGGAACAAAACAAAAAAGUUAAGAAUUAUCAGUGUGGAAAAAAAACCAUAAAAUAAAAGACACGAAAUAAAAAAUAAAAAAAGAUGAAAGGUUUUUAGAAUUAAACGUGAAUACCAAAAAUAUUCCAAGGAGAAAAUGUGGAUAUUGUGUUUGAAGGGGAAAAAUAUAUGUUUUUUUUUUAAUAAUUUUUUUUUUUUUUUUUUUUUUUUUUUUUAAAAAAANNNNNNNNNNNNNNNNNUUUUUUUUUUGUGAAAUAGAAGAUAACAUUGUUUUAAAUGCAAAUGUUUUGAAGAUUAUUAUUUAUCACAUUAAAUAUAAACGUUUCGUGUUCUACAAUUUUAAUAUUUAUGUAUAUUAAAAAUAUAAGAUGAAAUUAAUGAUAUUAAUAAAUAUCAAAUUUUGUAUGGAAUAUAUUGUAUUUUAUUAAAUUUGGAGAGUAAUUUUCUAAAAUUAGUUAACUUAACUAUGGAUAUGAUAUUUGUUAAUAUAAUAUAAUCUUGAUCUUUAAACUUUAAAUAUGACACAUGUCUCUAAUCUUGACGUUCAUCCUUGCCCAUUUUCUUCUUUGUUAGUACACACAGCCGCCUCCGGUUGAAACCACCCACACUUUGAAAUCGUCCUCACCCCGAUAACCACAUACCUACCCCUCCUUUAACGAUUUCAAAGAAAAUAAUUUCAGAUUCGCAUUAGUCUUGUCGGAAAAAAUGGAGUUUCGCCGGAAUUGUUUUUGACUCAAUUUGAUUUUAUUUUUGAUGAAAUUCUUGUCUACAACUCAAAUGAAAAUCUUUAUCAGUAAAUUCUUUUGUUUUUUUUUGUGUUUUGACUAGUUAUUAGUAUUUAACUGAUACUUUUCCGAUGAAGAAAACAACGAUGACUAUAUCGAUGAUGGUGGCAUGACGCUAGAAAGUAGGGGUGUACAAAACCGAACCAAACCGCAAACCGAGUCAAACCGGAAAAAAAAAACCGACUAGUGAUUGGUUUGACUUGGUUUGGUGUUGGAAAAAAAACCCGACUAUAUUUGGGUUGGUUUAGUUUUAACUAAAAAAACCAACCCGACAUUAUAUAUAUAAUUUUAAAAUUUUAUUGUAUACAUAAAAAUAUUUACUUUUGAUAUAAUUUUUAAAUAUUUCUUAUACUUUUUCAUAGUUUUUAUCUUUUAAUAUAUUAUUUCAAGUUUGAAACUUAGAAUUUUGAAUGGUUCCAUAAAGAUUAUAGUUCAUAGAUGUUGGUAAUUAUAAUAAAACUUAAAUCAAAAUCAAAUUAAUACUAAUGACAAAAAGAAAAUCAAUUUAACACUAAGAAUGACAAUAAUAUUGAAUAUUUGUUCUUUGGUUUUACAUUGGUUUAGACAAUUAAAGUACAUAAUCUAAUUUUAAUUUUCUUUAAUAUUUAGUCAUGUAACUAAUACUUAAUUAAACUUUAUUUAGCAUGUAUUUAGUUAACUUUUAAAUUAUGAUCAUUUUCUUUAUGACUUGUUAAUUUGCAAUAUUUGUUUUACGCGAUUUCAUUAUUAUUAUUAUUUUUAUUUUUGGAUAUUUUGGUGUCAUUAAUCAUAUCAUUAUUUGUGUUGUAUUCUUAAGAAACACCUUAGCUAAUUGUAUUUUGGUAGAACUGAAGAAAUAUUUGAAGUACAAGUAAAUUAUAUGUUUGUAUGAAUACUUUAGCGGAAAACCCGAAAAUCCGAAAAACCCAAAAAACCCGAGGUUGAAAAACCCGAGUUUUAUGGUUUGGUUUGAUUUAUAGAUUUAAAAAUCCGACACAAAUGGUUUGGUUUGAUAUUUGAAAAACCCGAACCAACCCGAUCAUGUACACCCCUACUAGAAAGAAUGAAGGAUUAGAUGAGAAAGAGAUGUAUCGAGGGAUGGUGGCAAAGAAAUUUGCCUUGAUGAGAAUAUUGGAUUGAGUAGUCCAGGGAAGACAAUUGGGGAAGAUGAUGCUAGGGAUUUUUUAAUUUUGUUUAUAUGUUCAAAUUAUAAUUUUUUCUAAUGUUGAUAUGUCCAUUUUUUAUUGGUCCGAAAAAAAAAGUUUAUGGCUUCACGUGCUUCCUUAGAUGUGUAAUACAUUCAUGAUGCCAUGUCACCAAAAAGUAUUUAAUAGGUACAUGUUUUGAACGGUAAAGGUGCUCAAUAGGUACAAUCCCUAGUUAAGGUGUCUAAGUGAAUUAUGCAAAUAACUUUAAGGGGCCACAAAUGACUUAAGCCUUUGUUUUUAGUCUAAAUUAAAGGACAUAUUUAUGUAUUAUGUCUUUUUUCUAUUCUCAAAGGCUCAAACCCGAAACUACAUCCUUAUUGUCAAGCCAUACUUUUCUUAUUUUUAUAUAUAAUUCUUAUCAAAUUACCUCAUCUAUUUUUUUACCUUUCUAAACCCGAUUCUAAUGAAAAGAAAAAAAUAAUCUCAAUUCCUCUUCUUCCAAUUAUAAAAUGGGUUUGGAUCAGGUUUGAAUCAAAGAGUGUUUGUUUUUUUUUAGUUGGGCCGGGUUGAGAGGGUAAAAAUGUGUGAGGUUAAUUAUUUUAAGAAUUUUAAAAGUCAACUUUAGAAUUAAUUUUUUAAUUCAGUUUGUUAAAGAAAAUGGUAAUAUACAUUAUUUGUUAGACGAGGAGGGUAUAUAUGCACUAUUUGUUAAAUGACGUAUGCAUACAUACAUCACUUUUUUUUUAUAGAGAACUAAAGCAUUAUUGAUAAUGUUGGUUUAUUAUAGAGUACAGAUUAUCGUGAUGACAUUUACACUCCAACUCGGUAAAUGGAUCAAUUUCAAUCGGAGAGUACGAAAGUAUCAUUAAUAAUGUUAGUUUUAGUAAAAUAUACCUCUAAUUAAACUUUUUUUAAAGAAUGUGUCAUGUUGAGCCAAGUAUGGCUAACCAAAAGUGUAAAAUAAAACUUGAAACUGUAACAGAUCAAUAUGCUCAAUUUUGAAUUUAAGUAAUGAAAAAAGGAAGAACAAUGAUGUGUAAGGUAAUCAACAAUUAGUAUUAGUAUUCAAGAAUUUUCUUAAUCACAGAGUAUAUCUGUGGGGUAAAGGUAAACAACAAUCAGUAUUUGCCUGAAAUAUUCAGUAAAAUGUAGCCACAAAGGAACACUUUUUCAUCAUUUACAGUUCCCCAUCUGCAUUCUGCUUUCUAUUUAUUCUGUGGCGAACUUUCAAUACAAUUCUAUGUGUGGGGCGUCGCUGAGUUUUUACACGCAGGCAUAGUCUUGUGGCAUGGAUCACUACAGCUGGUAAAUGGAAGAAGAUGGUGAGUGUGCGAUUGACAGCAUUAAUAUUUCCAAAGCGAGCAUCGUACAGUAUCUCUUGGCUAUAUAGCACAAAGUACCCAAUGAACAAUGUCUGCAUAGUGGCUACCAAUCACAAGCAAUAUUCAUCAAGUCAGUCAUUAGUUAUAGGAUGAGUUUGAUCGCAGUGCUUACAUACAACUGCUUACCUUUAACAUCAAAUGAGCUGUGUGGCUGUCAAUAAAGCUAGAGAACAAAUCAUUGACAAUAAUGCUAGAGAACAUUAGAAAACAAGCAAGGGUCAGGCACCCGAGGUAGAUUAUGCUCCUUUCCCCUGUCUUCAUGGCUAGAUACAAGAAACCUCCAAUGCUGAUUGCUGCACCUACAAAAAAGCCAAGGCUAGAGAGAAAGAAUGGAAUGCUUUCUGAAGUUAGAUAUUGGUUCAAAAGAUCAGAAUAUUCUUCAAAUACAACAACUACACAUACUGAAGGAGCAAAGUAACAUGUUUCUUAAUUUCACUAAUUCAUGAGCCAUACUAGUUCAAAAUUUGGAACUCUAUUUGCCAUAACAGACCAACAUUCUAACACCCAAAGCUAGUCAUAUUGCUCAAUGAAAACCUAUGUGGUCCGAGUAGCCACUUUUAGCUAACUGCAUGCAAGAAGUCGUUCAGAUUUCACACAGACAACUUGUAUGCUCUCACAAUUCCUUAUUACAGAAUUUCCAUAGAGAAAGUAGUCAUUCUAAUGAAGAUGGAAAACAAUAGUUUCUACAAGGCAACGGUACCAAUUUUUCCAGUUAAGAUUUUAAGUAAUCUAAUGAUUCAUAAGGAUAAAGUGAUCACAAGUAAAUACCAAUCAACAACAAUCCUUUCUCUGUACACAAUUGAAUUAAUACUACACAAGUCAGUUAAUAUGAUAUGACAAGAAAGCAGUAAAAGCAACCAUAUAAAACUUCAACAGCAGAUAUCUGAACAAUGUUUAACAUCUUUUGAGUCGUACAUUUGAUCGGUUGUGAAGAAAUAUUUGGUAAAAGGGACAACAGAAGCACCGAAGAAAAAGGCAGAAAUCAUCAAUAGUGAGACCCUCUUCAUCUGCAUAGACAGAAGAUUUAUGUCACAAGAAGCGACUUGAAGAAUAAUUCAACAACUUGGAAUAAAAUCUACGAGUCAUUGAUCACAUACCACUCUCUGUGGGGAUGUAAAGUGAAGCCUGAGUACACUUGCUACAGUUAAAAAGACUGGUAACAGUCCCCCCAAUUCCCAGAACAAGUGCAAGAAGGAUCCAUAACUAGAGCACAUCAUGGCCCAAUAGAGAGUCAAAUACACCUAUAUAAUCAUCAAAAAAGAUCGAAAUGCCAUUUUUUUUCCAGCUAAUUAGGUUUUUCAAAGAAAGAAGAAGACCAAACACAAGAAGCUGAAAUCUGAAACAAAUUCAAUUGCUUUCAAGAAAUUUAAAAUAUUAAAAAACAACUUCCAAGACUAAAUAGGGAGCAAGGCUUCAAUAACAAACGUGAUUCAAAUUAUCAGUAACGGCAUAAGCAAGUGCAAUAGAACAGCAAAUACUACGGCAAUACUUUUCAAUCAAGUAGAAUGGUCAUCGGCAAUAAUCUUCUGAGAACUGAAAUUCAUCAAUACUUAAGAAUUGGGGAUUUAGCACGAAUACUUAAAUUACAACAUUUUAAUCAGAACAUUAAUCUUUUCUUCAGAAUUCAUCAUGUGUAGUCUUCUCCAGUUCCUUCUGAAGUAAGCUCUCACAGUAUUCAUUGCCUCGAUUACAAUUGCAACAUUUGUGAUCAAAUAUAGAAAAAAAGUGGAAAUUUACCCUGUUCAAGCUUGUACGAUCGUUCUGAGGAAUUGGUGCUAAACUCAUCAUGUCUUUUCUUGACCAACUCCUAUCGAAGUACGCUUUCACAGCAUUCACUAAGAAAUCCAUUUUUUUCUUUCGUUUUGUCAGUAGAAAUUGGAAGUGAUGAGAAGAAUGAGGAGCGUGAGUUCUAUUUAUAGUUUUGCAGAGAAGAGUUAGUUACCAACGGAAUGGCCUUUUUGGGACAUGGGCUAUAUGACAGGGUAAUUUCGUCUCCAGACUCAAGUUAUUGGCGGGAAGGUUUUCCAUUUACUCAUUUGAUUUGAUAUUUGUCUAAUACUAUAAUUUUUGGCUCAUCUCCAUUAUACUUUCUUUCCAUUUCCUCUAUAGGAGUGAUAUUUGUCUAAUAUAAUUUUUACUUUAGAUUAAUUCUCUUCCUUUUAAUUUACUUUAGCAAAAUGAAGAAUAUAGAGAAAAGGCCCAAAAUAGUCCCUUAUCUUUGAGUUAAGACUCAAAGUCAUUUUUGAGUUUUCACAUGGAGCAUUAAUAGUCAUUCAUGUUUGCAAUAUUGGUGUACUUUUGGUCCUCCUUCAAAAUUUUGCCUAUUUUUUAACAUUGAUUUUAUUCAUAAUUUAUGUACAGAAUGUUUAAUCGUCAUUUUAUAUAUUUAGUAGAAAUAAUAACUCUAUGUGAGAAGGAAAACACUUUAUUUUGUUUAGUAGAAAUCGAAUUGCAGGUGAAGUCGAGAGGUUCAUCACGACGAUUUCAUGUAUAAUAGUACAAUUUUUUCUUUUCUUGCAAUGUCAUAUGUUAAAAUGUUCUUAGUUUAGCUGCAGUAAUUUUUAUACUGAACAGAACAAAGUGUUCUUCUUCUCACCUUCUCUCACAUAGAGUUAUUAUUUCUACUAAAUAUAUAAAAAAAACGAUGGGACAUUCCUUACAUAAAAUUAUGAACAAAAUUAAUGUUAAAAAAUAGGCAACUUAUUAGAAGCCUAUUUGACUAGACAGGCUAUGGAUCCCACUAAUAGAAUGGGACUAUAACCAACCUUCCAUGGUCUAGGUUCAAGGACAAUACAGAUUGUGGGCUCUUGUUCCCUGUAGGUUUAUAGCACGCUAGGCUAGCUAAGAAAGGUAAAGUUUAGGGGAGGACCAAAAGUGCACCAAUAUUGCAAACAUGAAGGACUAUUAAUGCUCCAUGUAAAAACUCAAUGAUGACUUUGAGUCUUAACCCAAAGAUGAAGGACUAUUUUGGGCCUUCUCUCUCCUCUUUUGAUUGAUAUAUUUUUUUGUUAUUAAGUUGGUGUAGGGAUGUGGCAGCCGCUAUUUCUUAAUAUUGAGGGGUCGUUUGGUAGGUCGCAUUAGAAGAAAUAGUUCAUGUAUUAUCUAUGAUAUUAUUUAGUACAAUUGGUAGGAAUUUGAUAUUAUAGCUUCCAUUUGGAGGUAUAGUAAUACAUAGAAUAUAACACCAUGAGAUAAGUCUAUGUAAAGAUAAAAAUAUCUCACUAAUCAUUUUAAUUAUUUUUUUGAUUUUAUGUUUUAUAUUUUAUAUUUGUACUAAUAAAUUUAUCUAAAUAAAUUAGCUUACAAAUUAUUUAGAGAGAGUUGUUUGUUACUAAAUAAAGUCCAAUACAAAUCAAUACAUAUUUGAAAUGUGAGUUAUUUAACAUUUAUUGAUUAAAAAGGCAAAUAUAUCACUACAUGACAUUUGCGAUCUUAAUUGAAUAUAUAUAUAUAUGGUUUUCUAAUUAUUUGUAUUUUGAACAAUUUUAAAAACUACAUACAUAUUAAAACUAUAACUUGUAAUUUUUAUGUGUAAAUGUAGAUGGUUUAUUCAAUUUUACCAUUAUUGACCGUCUUUUUUAUUUUAAAAGUAGAUAGUUUAUCUUUUUAAAAUUGAAAAUUGACAUUUUGUGAGUGAUCAAUUUAUUAAGAUGACAAUUAUUUAUCCUCAAAUAAUUCAAGUGAAAAAAUAGCAAACAUGACAACAAAAUUGUUCUUCUCAUAGCUAGUUAGAAGGCAAUAAAAAAAUAAUAUUGUCCGGCUAUUAUCUGUCUUCACUCAAUUACAUAAUAAUUCAAGGGUAUAAUUGGAAAGGAAUGUUUUUAAAGAGUUUUAAUCCAAACACAAGACGGGAAUGGGAAACAAUGAAUCAAACACUUGAUAAAAAUAAAUUCUGCAUUACUAAUUCCUGCACUACUAAUUUUUAUAUUACUAAUCACCGCGUUAUUAAAUUUUGCACAAGCGACCCUGAGUGAUAUAUUUAUAUUUUAGGCAAAGGGGUAUUCAGCAUCUAUAAGAAAAAAUUAAUCAUGUAAAAGUAGUGUUAUACAUGUAUAAAAAAAAUUAAUUAUGUAAAAAAAAAAUGAUUAUAGUUUCAACUUAAUUAGAAAUCUGUAAUUAUAGUUUGCUUAAUUACGAUUCAUUGACAUAUAUCAGAAGAAAGAGAGAGGAGUGAGCUAUUGCCAUAUUGCUCAACUUCUCUCGACUCUCACCCAUAAGCCGAUACAGUUCGAAACUCUUUCUGGUUUCUAAAGAAGCACAAAACAAUAACUUAUAACCUAAUAUCAGACCAACAUUCUAACACUCAAUGCUAGUCAUAUUGCUCAAUUUUCUCAUACAUAAGCUACAUUAUGCCAAUUCUCCCAUAUGAAGGCUAAUCCAGAAUGACUAUGUUUAUGUCAAUUACUGAAGGCAAUUUUAGCUAACUGCACACAAGAAUAAUACAUAACACAACAAAGAAUGACUAUGUUUUAGCAAGAAAAGCUUAACGGAAUCUAGCUAAAAUUUUGUGCAAAAAUGAGGAAUGCUAAGAGGGUGGAACCUCACUAUAUGGAACAAUUGUUUGCCAAGCAAUAUACAAAGCACUUUUCAUCAGACUAACGAAUUUCAAAUUCAAUCAGUAAAAUGUAGCCACAAAGGAAUACUUUUCAUCAUUUACAGUUCCCCAUUUGCUAUCAACUCUCUAUUUAUUCUAUAGUUCCAAGUGUAUCAGCAUUAAUUCUCUCUGUGUUGCUCAUUUUCUGCAGUCAGGCAAACUCUUGCAGCAUGGACCACUAUACCCGGUAAAUGGAAGAAGACGGCGAGUGUGCGAUCCACAGAGUUAAUUUCUCCUAUGCCAGCAUUAUACAGUAAAUCUUGGCUAUAUAUCACUAAGUACCCCAUGAACAAUGCUUGCACAGUGUUUACCUACAACAAGCAGUAUUCAUCAGGCCAGUCAUAUUAUUCAUUCAUUAGACAGAAGUAAUGAUUUAUUGACGUGGGAACUGUGUUAUAAUAGGAUGAGUGUGAUCACAUCCAACUGCUUACCUUAAACACCCAAUGAACUGUGUGGGUGUGAAGGAUAUCUAUACCAUAAACAAAAAUGCUGGCACACAUUAGAGCAUAAGAAAAAUUCAGGCAAGUCAUGUAGAUUUCUCUCCUUUCCCUCGUAUACGUGGAUCCAUACCAGAUAAUUCCAAUGCUAAAUGCUGAACCUUCCAAAACGUUGACAAUAAGGCUGGAGAGCGAGCAAGGAAUGCUUUCCGAAGUUAGAUAUUUUUCAAAUUAUCAGAAUAUUCUUCAAUAAAGAAGACAGAACAACCAGAGAUAAUCAACUACUCAUGCAGAAGGAUCAAAGUAACUGCUAUUGAAUUUAUAAUGUAGGAAAUGAAAGAACAAGCAAAUGUCUUUUGUCAUAUUAGAAAAGACUUCAGGAAUCAGUGGUAAAUUAUUUAAGUUCACUCUUCAUGAGCCAUAUCAAACUUUAACAGAAGAUAUCUGAACAAUGUAUAGCAUCUUUUAAGUCUUACGGUGGAUAAAUUUCGAAGAGAUAUUUGGUAACAAGGCAAAAAGAAGCACCCAAGGUACAGGCUGCAUACAGCAAUAGUGAGAUCCUCAGCCUCUGCAUAGACAGAAGAUUUACUAUAUAAGAAGCGACUUCAAUAACAAUUCAACAACUUGGAAGAAAAUCUACAAGACACAGAUCACGUACCACUCUCAAUGGUGAUGCAAAGUAAAGCCAGAGUAAACUUGCUACAGAAGAAAGGACUGUGAACAGCCAUCCCACUUCCCAGAUGAUCAAGUGCAAGAAGGAUCCAAAAGUAAAGCUCAGCAUGGCACAGAAGAGAGUAAGAUACACCUAUAUUUUCAGCAAACUAAUCAAUCAAAGGAAAAAAGCAGAAUCCAAUACUUAGAAACAGAACCUAAAAUCCAAUACUUGCUAACCAGGUUUUGCAAAAAAAGAAAAAAUCAAAAACAAGACGCUGAAACCUGAAAUUGCAUGAAACAAAUUAAUCCGUCUGUCCAAAUUUGAAUGAAACAAAUUCAUUUUGGCAAUCGUUUCAUUUUAACUAUUCAAAAAAUAACUUUCAAGCCUGAAUAUGGAGCAAGGUUUCAAUACCAAUCUCUACUCCAGUAGUUUUAACAAUUAUCAGUAAGGCAUAAUUAAGUAAAAAAAUACGGUAAUACAUGUAAAAUAUUCAAAAAAAAUCGAAAUUCAUCAUGAGUCCUGAAGAAUUAAGUAAAGCAAGUACAAAAGAAGAGAAAAAAUUACGGUAAUACAUAUAAAAUAUUCAGAAAAUUCAAAAUUCAUCAUGAAUCAUGAAUAAUCAAGUAAAGCAAGUAGAAUGUUGCCUUAUUUCUCACUAGAACUACGAGAAACUGUAAAACAAAUCGAUUCCAAGUAGAUCUCCUGAUACAGCUAUCAGUAACGAGAUAACGAAAAUAGAAAAAUCUCCAUUCCUUAAUCGCUGGAUUACAAGUUUUUCAAAUAACAACAUUUAAAUCAGAACAAUAAUUCUUACAUUUGUGAUCAAAUAGAAAGAAAAAAUGAAACAGUAAGAACAAAUGUACCGUCGUCAAGCUUGUGUAAGCGUACUCGGAAAUUUCUCCAGUAUUCACCAGGUCUUCUCUUGUCCAAUUCCUGUUGAAGUAAGCUUUCACAGCAUUCAUCUCUGAGAACUUCAAGUUUUUUUGCUUCUGAGAUCGGAAAUUUGAUGAAGAAGAAUGAAGAACGUGAGCUGUGUUUAUAGUUCGUUAUAUACACAAGAGUUUGUUACGAAAAAUAGCCCCUCGCCGUUACUCUGUUUGGGAAUAUUUACGGCUCUACCAUCCAAUUAUUGGCUGAGUUUUGGGGAUAUUGCAGGGGUAAUUUCGUCAAAGAAGAAAAAGGAUACUCCAUCCUUUCAUAUCACUUUGACACAUCCCUUAAAAAAGUUUUAAUUAGAUAUAAUUGAUUUUGGAUCAGAUUCCUUUCCCUCCAUUUCCUCAUGUACACAUUUAAAUGAGUUAUCUAAUAUAUUUUUUAAAGGUCAAGAUUAGAUUAAUUUAACAAACAUCUUAAUUACGAUUAAAAUAUUGAAUUUGAAAACCACUUUUUAAUUAUAGAAUACAAAUCAAUCUCCUCAUUUAUUUUGAUACUCAUUAAUUUCAAUUUGUAAAUUUUAUAUUGAAAAAUCAGAUCAAAGUUCGUUAAUAUGUUCAAAAAAGUUUAACUAAAUUUCAUAGUAUCAAAUUAAUAAAUAUUUCUAUGACAUUACUUUUCGCAAUUGUUUCUUUUUUCUUCUUCUUUUUCUUCGUAUAUUCUUUGAGAGAAGGCCCAAAAUAGUCCCUCAUCUUUGGGUUAAGACUCAAAGUCAUUCUUGAGUUUUUACAUGGAGCACUUAUAGUUCCUCAUGUUUGCAAUAUUGGUGCACUUUUAGUCCUCCCUUACACUUUUGCCUAUUUGUUAACAUUAAUUUUGUUCAUAAUUUUAUGUAAGGAAUGUCCCAUCGUCUUUUUAUAUAUUUAGUAGAAAAAAUAACUCUAUGUGAGAGAAGGUGAGAAGAAAAACACCUUGUUCUGUUCAGUAUAAAUAUUACUGCAGCUAAACUAAGAACAUUUUAACAUAUGACAUUGCAAGAAAAGAAAAAAAUGUACUAUUAUACGUGAAAUCGACGUGAUGAACCUCUCGACUUCACCUGCAAUACGAUUUCUACUAAACAAAAUAAAGUGUUUUUCUUCUCACAAUCUCUCACAUGGAGUUAUUAUUUCUACUAAAUAUAUAAAAUGACGAUUAAACAUUCCAUACAUAUAUAUAUAUAUAUAUAUAUAAAUAUAAAUCUGAAUCUAAAACCGCUGCUGUGGCACCCUCCAAUGGCUAGCAUUUGCAAUUAUCUAUUUUCUCCUCUCUUUUUUUGAAUUAUUUCUUCUUCUUUUUUCUUUAAGUUUUUAUUGAAUAUUAAUUAAAGCAUAGUAUUUAAUUCUCUCAUUAUUAAAACACAAACAUAAAAGUUGUAGUAUUGUAUUAGUGUCGUAUUAGUAUCACUAUGCAUUGGUGUUGCACGUUUUUUGCAGAAAAAUUGAUCUCUUCUCCUUCCCCAUAAUUAACAUUUAUUAAUAGGUUAACAUAGUAAAUCUCCUUCUCCUACCCAAUAAAUAAUAUUUAUUAUAGGUAUUAAAUAUGGCACCUUUUCAAAUUCUGACAAUCAAUAAAAUGAUAGAAAUUUAGGAACAAAGCUCCAAAGCUUCCCCACCACUAUGCUAGAUGAAAUACUCAUGAUGCUAUAUUUCAUUACGUAAUAUUAAUUAUUAUUUUUAUUGGAUAAUUGUAUUGAAAAAUUUUCGUAUAUGAAUCGAAGAAAUAUGAUUUACUUAUUCUUGGUUAUACAUGGUUUUAGGUGAUCUUAUGAUCUCUUCUCAAGUUUUGCUUAUGCAUGUUUAUUAUUAUGAUUUCUAUUGUUGCACUGAUAAUUUCUAAUAUUUCAUCUUUUGUUUUAUAUCAUUUUCUCAUAAUAAUUAUAUAUCUUUUCUUUAAUUAUUUAGAAUCAUUUUUACUAUACGCAGGUUUGUUCAAUCAAUUACAGAAAGUGAAAAGAAAAAUGUGUCAACUGACUACAACAACUAUUCAAAGUAUAAAAGAGAUAUUAAACCAAGGUUCGUCACUGCAUGAAUGAGAUUUGGUAUAUUUUAAGAGGAGCAAAUGGACUGUUUAUCAAACUAUUUAUUAUGAGUAUCUCAAAUAUAUCUUUUUGAUUAUGCUUGUAAAUAUUAUUAUUUAAAUAUCUAGAAGGUUCAAUUUUACUUAAUAAACAUCGUGUAUGUGUUUCGUUUUUUUAUUGAUUUAUUUUCUUUUUUGUUCAUUAUUUUAUGCUUCAUUUUAUUUUAUUUUAAAUUUAUUGAUUUAUUUUCUUUUUUGUUCAUUAUUUUAUGUAAAAAUAAAUAAAUUCUUUGUGUGUUUUCGUAGGUGGUUACGAAAAUGAUAAAUUGUUCAUGAAUAAGAAAUUAAGAAUGCUAAAAGGAAAUUUUCUCGCCAUAUACACUUUAGUUGAUUAUUGCUUUCAUUGAUAUUAUUCUAACCAUUUAAAUAUCAGAAGGCAGUCUUAAUCUUAGUUUUAAAAAUAAUGCCAAUAAAAUUAUAUUUUCUUUUGGACAAACUUUAUUGGUUGAGAAUGAAAUCAAACUUAAUUUUGACAUAUUUAAAGUUUCAAAUUUUAGUUCCAACUUAAAAAAGAGUGAAUUGUGUUUUUCAAAUUAGAAUGAUCUCAUUUUAGUAUGUGUUUUGAAUUUGUAUUAUACAUGAGUAAUUUGAAUGUAAGUUAUUAUAAAUAGUUUAACAAAUCAAAAAACUUAAGUUGAAUAUAAUUAUCAUCACAAUUUUUUAAUUUAUCAAAAUAUAUGGGAGCUUGUAAUUUUAAAUCUAUAGCUAUAUAUAUUUAUAUAAAGUUGGACAUAAACAAGGUGAUAUUACAACUCUAUAAUCAACAACCAUAUUUUUUUUAUUUUUUUUUCAUUCUCCUAUUUUCUUAAUCUGUUUUUGUUAUUAAAAUCAAAAAAUAAUAAUCAAAGGUCACUAAUUAAAAUAUUUCUCCUCAAUAUGCGUUACUCAUUUUUUUUCAAUUACUCAUUGUUAAGUACCACUUAUUGUACUUAAGUCUCUUUAAUUUGUUAGUGCCUAUUAUUUUAAUUUAAAAGUCUAACUUUGACUAAAUAAUUUAUCAAUUAAUUAGGAGAAGACUGUUAUUAUAGAAGACAAGGAAAGAUAAAAAAAUGUUACUUUCGAAUAGGUGAUGAAAAUAUUAACGUAGAAAGAAGCAAAUUUUCUUUUUGAUUAUUUAAAAAAUAGAGCACAAUAUUUAACUAGCAACGAGAAUUAGAGAAACAAGAAAAUAAUUCAAUAAAAUAAAUAUUCAACAUAGGAAAGAUUGAAGGAAGUAACUAAACAAAAAGAGGAAGUAGGAUUAGGAGAUAAUAUCUCAAAUGGUCAGUCAACUAUGAGUAAUUUUCUCAGAAAGUCACUCAACUAUGAGUAGUUUUCUCAGAAAGUCACUCAACUUUAUUUUAUAACACAAAAGUCACUCAACUAUGUGUAGUUAUCUUAGAAAGUCACUCAACUAUUAGUAUUCUACAUAAAAUGUCACCCAACCAAUUUAAAGAAUUUUUUCAUUAAUUUUUGUUGACUUGAAAAUUUUAUUUUAAGCUAAAUUUUUAAGAAAUAAAAAGAUCUUCAUUAUAAUCUUUUUAUUGACGUGUCCCACUAAAAUUAAGUAAUAUAUAAUACAACAAAAUUUAUAACUAUAGUUAGUAAAACAAACUUACAUCUAAAGUACCAAUAUAAAUUAUAAAUACAAAAACACACAACUCAGUUACACAUUUUAUAUAAAAAAAAUUAGCUUAUAAUUGAGUAAUCAGUUAAUUAUAUAUGUCAACAUUUGAACAAUAGUUAGACAAUAACAAAGAUUCCAAUGUUUCUAAUUAUAUGAGAAAAAUUAGACUAGCAAAUUAUGUCGUCAUAUUUGAGUGAUUGCUUUAAAUAUUAUUUUAAAUGCAUAUAAAAUGAAGUGAUUUCGAUAAAUAUAUAUUUCUAUAUAAUUUUAGUGGGGUGCAUCAAUAAAAUGAUUAAAAUUGACAUUUUUUUUAUUUUAAAAAAAAUCAUAUAUAUAUAUAUAAAAGAGAAUCUUAGGCCCGCCUACGUGACGCCACCACAAACAAGAAUUCCCUUUUAAUUUAUUUAUUUACAAAACUAACCUUCCCCUUUCAUGAAAAGCUGUGACUUUAAUGAAAAGUAGUGACUUUUAUGAAAAAUUACGACUUUUCAUGGCCCGCCUACGUGGCGCCACCACAAACAAGAAUUCCCUUUUAAUUUAUUUAUUUACAAAACUAGUCUUCCCCUUUCAUGAAAAGUAGUGACUUUUAUGAAAAGUUUCGACUUUUCUGAAAAGUUGUAACUUGUAUGAAAAGUUGCAACUUUUAUGAAAAAAAUUGACUUUUAUGAAACAUUGUGACCUUUCCGAAGAGUUGUAACUUUCCAAUGAGUUGUGACCCUUUCGACAAGGCACAAUAAGAAUUUGUUCACACUAUCAUUUGUUGUCUAUCAAUAGAGGGACUUCCUGUCACUAUUAUUUGUAGGUUUUUUUCCCUUGCAAUUUCUUUUUGCAAGGGAAAUUGCAAAAAGAAAUCUGUGGUUCUUUAGUAAACAAAUCUUUUAUUUCUGCCACUAUUAUUUGUAGGUUUUUUUGCAAUAAGACAGUCAAAUACAUAUACAUUUAUUAAGCUUCUUAUGAAGUGUGUUCCAUUUCUCAAAGCUUUCUUCCUCCUAUUUUAUGAAGCUUAAUCUUUUACCUUAAGUCAUAGUGAUUCGUGUAUCCCUUGCAAUUUCUUUUUUGCUAUUUUUGUAACUUUUUUUUAACUCUGUUAAAAAUUUCAGUGAGGAUGAUUGAAAAUUUAUCUUCUCUUAUUGAAAAUUUAUUUUCUCUUUUGUCCCUUUUUACAGGUUUCUUCAUAUACUUUUUGGAAAAAUUGCUUGUGGAUUGUGUUAUAUUUGAUAGCAUACAAUGAUCAAUAUGUGAUUACUAAUAUGAAACCAAUGAUGAUGUUUGUUAAAAAAACCAAACAAAUUGCUCUCUUGCUUGCCACAAUUAGUAUAUUAUUUUGAUUAUUUUUCUUAGGUACAAACAUUUUUUAUGGAUUGAGGUAUACAUAUUAUCGUCUCUAUUGAAGAAAAUUACAAAAAAAAAUUCCAGCAGAUAAUGAAGAAAAAAUCAUAUACAAAGGCUCGAAAAAAAGCUCAUAAAAAAGCUUGGUUUAUUAUCAGUUCCUUCCAAGACUCUCCAAGUAAAAGUUUUUUCCCUAUUUCUUCACUUCUCAGUCCUGGCAAUAGUAAUGACUAUUCUGAGACAAUGAGGAAAAACAUUUAUGAUACUCACAAUUUUAUGGUCAUUUUAACAUAUACAUAAUACAACAUGCUAUAAUAAAAAAGAGAUUGAUGGAGGUUCAUAAGAAAGGAGUCGAACAUCCUCCAUUUAAAUUUAGUUAAUUAUGUUCUUGUAUGGACAUGAUGUUCCAUUUUACUUGGGAGUGUUUUUGUUUGAUGCUUUUUGGUAUCUUCUUUAAUGUCUGAUAUUGUUCUUUAUAACUUCUUGGAAUUUAGAAAAUUUCAUUACUUCUGACCAACUAUUUCCAUGGAGAUUUUCUUAGACUUCUUUCUUACACUAGAAAUCUCUCUAUGACUCAUAAUUUUUGUAUAACAAAAAUAAAAAAAUAAAAAAAUAUUGCACUUUAAGAUUUAAGAAGAAUGCUUUACCUUAAGAUAAAAUGUUCUUGACAAUGUAGUGUAUGUAUCGAAAAUACGAAUAUUAUCGAAUGACCAUAUGUAAGCUUAGUAAAAUAAUUCAAUCCUGUACGAAGCACGGGUAGUUUACCUAGUUUAGUAUAAAAUAAAAAUCUCAUGUCAACAAAAUUUAAUGAAAAAAUUAUUUAGAUUGGUAAAGUGAUUUUUCAAGAUAAAUAUUCAUGAUUGAGUGACUUUCUAAGAUAACUACACACAAGUGAGUGACUUUUGAAUUUAUAAAUAAUUUUUAUGACUAUGCGCGCGGAAAUGUUCAUUAGUUAUGAAUAAAAUCAAUGUUAAAAAAUAGACAAAAUUUUGAAGAAGGAUCAAAAGUGCACCAAUAUUACAAACAUGAGGAAAUAUUAAUACUUCAUGUGAAAAUUUAAGGAUGAUUUUGAAUCUUAACCAAAGAUGAGUGGGCCUUUUCUCGUCAAAAGAGUCUUUCAAUUUUAGACAUGCUUCACUGCCUGCUCAGCUCAAAACUCUGGCGGCCGGCAAUGUUUCCAUUUCUUGGUUUUCUUGAUUGGAUUCAUGGGGCUAUUCAGAACAUUCUACUCAAAUUCUUUCCACCAAAUCUCUCUUGAAAUGUAUGUGCGUUUCGAAAUCAUGGCAUCAACUUAUCUCUAGCCCUCAUUUUGUGAAAACCCAUCUCAAAUUAAACAGAAAUUAUCAUACAGUUCUAUUUUCAGACAUCAAUGGAAAAUUCAAGUUUUGUUCUAUCAAUUACCUCUUUAACAAACAACAACAAGUUACUCAGGAGCUAUUGCACAUGGAUCCUCCCACUUUGUUGGCUUUCGUUGUGGGUUCUGUGAAUGGGUUGAUUUGUCUGUGCAAUCGCGCUGGGCAGAUGUUUAUAUGGAACCCUACAAUUAGCAAGUCGAAGGAAUUGCUUAAUUCGAAAUGCGGUACCUCUAUCUAUAUCAAAUAUGGUUUUGGAUACGAUGAAUUACAUGAUGAUUAUAAAGCUAUAUUUGUUGAUUAUUCUUACCAUAAUGAUAAUGAUGAUGUGUCCAAAACGAGGAAUGUGGUCAAUGUUUAUAGUUUGAGGGCUGAUUCUUGGACAACAGUAGAUGACCAGCUUCACGGCAUCUAUCUAGUAAAUCGUUACGGUAAAUUUGUCAACGAAAUGCUGGGCUAUACAUGCUUGCUCCUCCCAUUUUUACAUUUUCUAUGCAUCUUCAACGGUCAGAAAUAGGUGACAUUUUACUUUCGCUUCCGGGAUAUAUCAUGAUAUUUGAUGGUUCAACCAAAAAAUUUGAGCACACUCCUGAUGUUAAGGGAUCCAAUCCUCCAGAAAUCUACGCAGAAAGUAUUGUUAAUCCCCUAAUGAUAUCUGGUAAAAUUCUGCUUAGUUUAGCUGGUAUGCUCGUUUUGCACUUCCUUUUCCGUCAAAUAUAGGACAAGACAUUGAAUAUAUAUUAAUCCAUACAUCAUAUUUGUUUGUAAUUCUUAUAAGCAUUUCUACUUUUUAUUUUACUAGUUUUUGGACACGUGCGUUGCACCUAGUAUCGUCAAUUAUUUGAAUGUUUUUAUUCUAAAGCAAUAAAUCUUUAACAAUAUACAUGUUUCAAAAGCAUUUGUUUGAAAUAAGUUGGUGUGGUCUACUACAUGUUCUAAGUUACUCAUAUGCUAAAAAACUAAAUCCAGUAUGCACCAGAUAUGCAGUAAUUCUAACAAAGUUUCCUAUUAUAUUCAUGUUAGUAUUUGGUUUAUAGAUGAUCGUGGUCUUGUAUUGAGUAUUUAAUCGACACAAUUUCUCAAAUUCUUCAGAUUUUUUAUGGCAAAGAAGACAAUGUUGGUUAAUGAGUAAAUAAUGGUGGACUCAUUUUUGGUCACAUCCUAUCUGUUGUUCACUAAUGAUACUACCAUAUGUUAAACAAUUUCAAUAACAGUUUACCUUAAAACUAUGUGUACGGGAUGUAUAAAUAUUCGCAACUUAGAGCUUGUUAGGAUUGACUAAUUUUAGGUGCUUUUAAGCACUUAUCUAGUGUUUGGGUAAGAUUGGUUUAUUCUCAACGAGGCAUAGAUGUAUGAGAAGAAACUGCCUGGUUUUUAAAAUAGAUUUGAACCAUAGUUUUGUUUUAACGACUAAAUUGUUAGUAAUUUGCAAUUUCCUCUCUCCUUCCAGAAGAAUGUGGUGUGAUGGAUCUAUCUUGAAGUAUGAAAAGUUCUGUUUUCAUUUUCUUUUCUGAUCUAGAAGAGUUUCUUUCUUUUAUACCUUUGAUGUAAAGGGAGAAUAGUCUUUUCUAUAGAUGGUUGGGCUAUUUGGUAUGAACAGUGUCGAGUUAGAGUUUCAAUAUAGUGCUUCUUAGAGUUUCAUCGAUAACAUCCUUUUACAUUGAGAAAUGAUGAUCUGCUUGCAUCUAUGUUGUUGUUUUUUGCUUAAACUAGAUGGCUAUUUUUGUCGUGCUAUACACUGCUUUUACAAAAAAAUUGAGACUUGUUUUGUACUAUUGAAUUUCAGGAAGUGGAAGCUAAUGUUGAACACUAAUCUGUAUUUGCUGCUGACUGCAUGGAUCAAAACUAUGAAGCAGAAUGAACAGGUCCAAAUGAAGCAAAAUGAUAUCACGGAUUCAUAUAACUGAUUACUUGUACACAGAGAAUGUUAGGAGGAAACCUUGUGGAUUGUUCCAUUGCUUUUCAAGGGUGAAAGAUUAUUAUUACCUGUUCCAGUAAACUAAACAAUUAGGCACUGGAAAUUUCUCACUUUCCGUAUGUUCAGCAACUGGGAACAAUCUAAUGAAGACGACUGAGAAUUACGAUGCUUCAUUCAAGUUGCUUGUAUUAUUUGUACAUGUUAGAGAAAACUUAUGUCAUCAAUCAGAAUCCUCCCCCUCUAAAGCUGCCAUUUUUUCUUUACUCCAACACUAAGAAGCUCUCUUUCACCCAUUGGGAUCUCUUUUCCCUUUCCAUGGUUAUUGACUAACUCGUCAUCACAUAAAUCAGCCUUCAAGUCACUAAAAUCAUCGUCAACAGAUGUAUUUUCAUGUGCAACUCGUCUUCAUUAGGUAAGCCGGUUAGCAUAAUUGGGAAAUUCAGAAAGGAGAAACCAACUAUGAGUCAAGAAAGCUAUUUAGCUAAAAUUAGGAAGGCUAGGAGGGUGGAACCAACCACCAUAGAGAACAAUUGUUUGCCAAGAAAUAUUAAAAGCACUUCUCUUCGGACUAACGAAGUUCAAAUUCAAUCAGUAUAAUAUGUAGUCACAAAGUAAUACUUUUUCAUUAUUUACAGUUCCCCAUUUGCUAUAGACUCUCUAUUUAUUCUAUACUUCCCAAGUGUAUCAGCAUUAGUUCCGUCUGUGUUGCUGAAUUUCUGCACCCAGGCAUAGUCUUACAGCAUGGACCACUAUAGCCGGUAAAUGUAGGAAGACGGUAAAUGUGCAAUUGACAAAGUCAAUAUCUCCAAAGCGAGCAUCGUACAGUAUCUCUUGGCUAUAUACCACAAGGUACCCCAUGAA
This 21980-nucleotide long non-coding RNA is filed under the name Solanum tuberosum (potato). RNAcentral describes it as "long non-coding RNA (STUB_LNC000430)". The record is from RNAcentral. Lineage: Eukaryota; Viridiplantae; Streptophyta; Magnoliopsida; Solanales; Solanaceae.